Molecule: ribosomal RNA, 327 nt
Filed under: uncultured bacterium
Lineage: Bacteria
Description: bacterial SSU rRNA
Rfam family: Bacterial small subunit ribosomal RNA
Source: RNAcentral
GAGUUUGAUCUUGGCUCAGGACGAACGCUGGCGGCGUGCCUAAUACAUGCAAGUCGAACGAACUUUCUUACACCGAAUGCUUGCAUUCACCGUAAGAAGUUGAGUGGCGGACGGGUGAGUAACACGUGGGUAACCUGCCUAAAAGAAGGGGAUAACACUUGGAAACAGGUGCUAAAUACCCGUAUACUCUAAGGAUCGCAUGAUCCUUAGAUGAAAGAUGGUUCCUGCUAUCGCUUUUAGAUGGACCCGCGGCGUAUUAACUAGUUGGUGGGUAACGGCCUACCAAGGUGAUGAUACGUAGCCGAACUGAGAGGUUGAUCGGCCACA